UGCCUCAGUAACGGCGAGUGAAGCGGCAACAGCUCAAAUUUGAAAUCUGGCCCCAGGCCCGAGUUGUAAUUUGCAGAGGAUGCUUUUGGUGCGGUGCCUUCCAAGUUCCCUAGAACGGGACGCCAGAGAGGGUGAGAGCCCCGUACAGUUGGACACCAAGCCUUUGUAAAGCUCCUUCGACGAGUCGAGUAGUUUGGGAAUGCUGCUCAAAAUGGGAGGUAUAUUUCUUCUAAAGCUAAAUACCGGCCAGAGACCGAUAGCGCACAAGUAGAGUGAUCGAAAGAUGAAAAGCACUUUGAAAAGAGGGUUAAACAGCACGUGAAAUUGUUAAAAGGGAAGCGCUUGUGACCAGACUUGCGUCCGGUGAAUCACCCAGCUCUCGCGGCUGGGGCACUUCGCCGGCUCAGGCCAGCAUCAGCUCGCUGUCGGGGACAAAAGCUUCAGGAACGUAGCUCUCUUCGGGGAGUGUUAUAGCCUGUUGCACAAUACCCUUCGGCGGGCUGAGGUACGCGCUCCGCAAGGAUGCUGGCAUAAUGGUCAUCAGCGACCCGUCUUGAAACACGGACCAAGGAGUCAACCUUAUGUGCGAGUGUUCGGGUGUCAAACCCCUACGCGUAAUGAAAGUGAACGCAGGUGAGAGCUUCGGCGCAUCAUCGACCGAUCCUGAUGUUCUCGGAUGGAUUUGAGUAAGAGCAUAUAGGGUUGGACCCGAAAGAAGGUGAACUAUGCGUGUAUAGGGUGAAGCCAGAGGAAACUCUGGUGGAGGCUCGCAGCGGUUCUGACGUGCAAAUCGAUCGUCAAAUAUGCGCAUGGGGGCGAAAGACUAAUC
Molecule: ribosomal RNA, 829 nt
Filed under: Colletotrichum gloeosporioides
Lineage: Eukaryota; Fungi; Ascomycota; Sordariomycetes; Glomerellales; Glomerellaceae
Description: eukaryotic LSU rRNA
Rfam family: Eukaryotic large subunit ribosomal RNA
Source: RNAcentral